AGAGUUUGAUCCUGGCUCAGGAUGAACGCUGGCGGCGUGCCUAACACAUGCAAGUCGAACGGGUGUGGUAUCAGGGAAAAGGGGUUUACUUCUUUGACCAGAUAACACACUAGUGGCGGACGGGUGAGUAACGCGUGGAUAACCUGCCUUAUACAGGGGGAUAACAGGGAGAAAUUCUUGCUAAUACCCCAUAGGUAUGUCUGACGCAUGUUGGACAUAUUAAAGCUUUGGCGGUAUAAGAUGGGUCCGCGUCUGAUUAGCUAGUUGGUGGGGUAAAGGCCCACCAAGGCGACGAUCAGUAGCCGGCUUGAGAGAGUGGACGGCCACAUUGGGACUGAGACACGGCCCAAACUCCUACGGGAGGCAGCAGUGGGGAAUAUUGCACAAUGGGGGAAACCCUGAUGCAGCGACGCCGCGUGAAGGAAGAAGGUCUUCGGAUCGUAAACUUCUAUCAGCAGGGAAGAAGGAAGUGACAGUACCUGAGUAAGAAGCCCCGGCUAACUACGUGCCAGCAGCCGCGGUAAUACGUAGGGGGCGAGCGUUAUCCGGAAUUACUGGGUGUAAAGGGUGCGUAGGCGGUAUGGCAAGUCAGUUGUGAAACCCCCUGGCUCAACCAGGGGCUUGCAAUUGAAACUGUCAUACUAGAGUGCAGGAGAGGAAAGCGGAAUUCCUAGUGUAGCGGUGAAAUGCGUAGAUAUUAGGAAGAACACCAGUGGCGAAGGCGGCUUUCUGGACUGUAACAGACGCUGAGGCACGAAAGCGUGGGGAGCGAACAGGAUUAGAUACCCUGGUAGUCCACGCCGUAAACGAUGAGUGCUAGGUGUUGGGGUCUAAUUAGAUCUCGGUGCUGAAGUUAACGCAUUAAGCACUCCACCUGGGGAGUACGAUCGC
Molecule: ribosomal RNA, 891 nt
Filed under: uncultured bacterium
Lineage: Bacteria
Description: bacterial SSU rRNA
Rfam family: Bacterial small subunit ribosomal RNA
Source: RNAcentral